CCUCAAAUCAGCAAGACUGUCCUAGGCUGCUUGCUUUCCGAUUUUUUGCACCUGCAUCAUGGUCCAGAAAGUGCCUAUAGGCAAACACAAAUAGAUCUUCAGUCGUGAAGCCUAGGCCACCUGUUGGACAGUGGAGCCCAGGCUGAAAUGCUGGGUCCCUAAGGAACCUGUAGGAAAGGUGCUUGGAGAAUAAAGUCACACUUGGCUGCUUAUAUCCAGACCCUUCUAUGUCAGCCCCAGGUAAAAGGCCUUCCUGGAGACAUAGUGGUUCCUGCAGUUCUGCACGACUGGAAACGAGUGCCAUUACAGGAGUCAUGGAUGAUCACACAGUGAUCACAUAAUUCUAAGUCUCAUCGGAAAUUUCAGUUCAGAAUCAAAUUCAAUGACGUUAUGGUACCUUAAAGGGCGAUCCGAUAAAUUUUUAAAUGCAG
Molecule: long non-coding RNA, 431 nt
Filed under: Equus caballus (horse)
Lineage: Eukaryota; Metazoa; Chordata; Mammalia; Perissodactyla; Equidae
Description: lncRNA (ENSECAG00000050875.1)
Source: RNAcentral